This 253-nucleotide ribosomal RNA is filed under the name uncultured bacterium. RNAcentral's name for it is "partial 16S ribosomal RNA". It matches the Rfam family "Bacterial small subunit ribosomal RNA", at positions 524 to 776 of the family's 1533-position model. The record is from RNAcentral.
UACGGAGGGGGCUAGCGUUGUUCGGAAUUACUGGGCGUAAAGCGCGCCUACGCGGACCUGCAAGUGGGGGGUGAAAGCCCGAGGCUCAACCUCGGAACUGCCUUCGAUACUGCGGGUCUCGAGUCCGGGAGAGGUGAGUGGAAUUCCUAGUGUAGAGGUGAAAUUCGUAGAUAUUAGGAAGAACACCAGUGGAGAAGGUGGCUCACAGGCCCGGUAAUGACGCUGAGGCGCGAAAGCGUGGGGAGCAAACAGG